AGACAUUGAUUUUCCAGUGCUACAGGAUUUCCAGUGACACAUGACCGACUGGCUGGCAGGUGGCUUUUAGUUUCAGGUCUUGGAGACACAC
Molecule: small nucleolar RNA, 91 nt
Filed under: Microtus ochrogaster (prairie vole)
Lineage: Eukaryota; Metazoa; Chordata; Mammalia; Rodentia; Cricetidae
Source: RNAcentral